GACGAACGCUGGCGGCGUGCUUAACACAUGCAAGUCGAACGAAGAGCGACGGAAGCUUGCUUCUAUCAAUCUUAGUGGCGAACGGGUGAGUAACGCGUAAUCAACCUGCCCUUCAGAGGGGGACAACAGUUGGAAACGACUGCUAAUACCGCAUACGAUCUAACCUCGGCAUCGAGGAUAGAUGAAAGGUGGCCUCUACAUGUAAGCUAUCACUGAAGGAGGGGAUUGCGUCUGAUUAGCUAGUUGGAGGGGUAACGGCCCACCAAGGCGAUGAUCAGUAGCCGGUCUGAGAGGAUGAACGGCCACAUUGGGACUGAGACACGACCCAGACUCCUACGGGAGGCAGCAGUGGGGAAUCUUCCGCAAUGGACGAAAGUCUGACGGAGCAACGCCGCGUGAGUGAUGACGGCCUUCGGGUUGUAAAGCUCUGUUAAUCGGGACGAAAGGCCUUCUUGCGAAUAGGGAGAAGGAUUGACGGUACCGGAAGAGAAAGCCACGGCUAACUACGUG
This 510-nucleotide ribosomal RNA is filed under the name uncultured bacterium. Its description in RNAcentral is "partial 16S ribosomal RNA". It matches the Rfam family "Bacterial small subunit ribosomal RNA", at positions 28 to 507 of the family's 1533-position model. The record is from RNAcentral.